AGGUGGCAAGCGUUGUCCGGAAUUACUGGGUGUAAAGGGAGCGUAGGCGGGAGAGCAAGUUGAAUGUGAAAACUAUGGGCUCAACUCAUAGUUGCGUUCAAAACUGCUUUUCUUGAGUGGAGUAGAGGUAAGCGGAAUUCCUAGUGUAGCGGUGAAAUGCGUAAAUAUUAGGAGGAACACCAGUGGCGAAGGCGGCUUACUGGGCUUUAACUGACGCUGAGGCUCGAAAGCGUGGGUAGCAA
This 242-nucleotide ribosomal RNA is filed under the name uncultured bacterium. RNAcentral's name for it is "partial 16S ribosomal RNA". It matches the Rfam family "Bacterial small subunit ribosomal RNA", at positions 529 to 771 of the family's 1533-position model. The record is from RNAcentral.